Molecule: ribosomal RNA, 507 nt
Filed under: uncultured bacterium
Lineage: Bacteria
Description: bacterial SSU rRNA
Rfam family: Bacterial small subunit ribosomal RNA
Source: RNAcentral
AGUUUGAUCAUGGCUCAGAGUGAACGCUGGCGGCAGGCCUAAUAUAUGCAAGUCGAACGGCAGCACAGCAGAGCUUGCUCUGUGGGUGGCGAGUGGCGGACGGGUGAGGAAUACGUGGGAAUCUGCCCAGUCGUGGGGAUAACGUAGGGAAACUUACGCUAAUACCGCAUGCGCCCUUCGGGGGAAAGCCGGGGACCUUCGGGCCUGGCGCGAUUGGAUGAGCCCACGUCGGAUUAGCUAGUUGGCGGGGUAAAGGCCCACCAAGGCGACGAUCCGUAGCUGGUCUGAGAGGAUGAUCAGCCACACUGGAACUGAGACACGGUCCAGACUCCUACGGGAGGCAGCAGUAGGGAAUAUUGGACAAUGGGCGCAAGCCUGAUCCAGCCAUGCCGCGUGAGUGAAGAAGGCCCUCGGGUUGUAAAGCUCUUUUGUCCGGAAAGAAAAGCGCCGGGUUAAUACCCUGGUGUCCUGACGGUACCGGAAGAAUAAGCACCGGCUAACUUCGUG